This 317-nucleotide long non-coding RNA is filed under the name Mytilus galloprovincialis (Mediterranean mussel). Lineage: Eukaryota; Metazoa; Mollusca; Bivalvia; Mytilida; Mytilidae. The record is from RNAcentral.
GUGUAUUCUUAAACAAUUAUUAUUUUUUUCUCUUUUUUAGCAAUGUAUCACUCUCUACUGUCCUUAUCUAUUAUUCUAUAUUCUGCUACUCCAUCCAGAUUAUCGUGUAUACCAUGAGGGUUCGGAUUGGGUGUGUUGUUUAUUUCUGUAUUCUUUAAAUUGUUAUGUCACGUUUCUUCCGUGACGUUUUUUCCUUUUACCUUUUAUUUAUCUUACUCAUUAUUCUUUCUCUAUUCUUUAUAUUUUAGCAUCCCAAUAUAUUUUACUUAUACUGAUGUUUAGUUACAUUACGACGUUUAUCUCUGAUUUAUAUACUG